RNAcentral lists this ribosomal RNA (425 nucleotides) under uncultured bacterium. Its description in RNAcentral is "bacterial SSU rRNA". It matches the Rfam family "Bacterial small subunit ribosomal RNA", at positions 917 to 1341 of the family's 1533-position model. The record is from RNAcentral.
GGGCCCGCACAAGCGGUGGAGCAUGUGGUUUAAUUCGAUGCAACGCGAAAAACCUUACCUACUCUUGACAUCCUUGGAAGCUCUUAGAGAUGAGAGUGUGCCUUCGGGAACCGAGAGACAGGUGCUGCAUGGCUGUCGUCAGCUCGUGUCGUGAGAUGUUGGGUUAAGUCCCGUAACGAGCGCAACCCUUGUCCUUAGUUGCUAACAGUUCGGCUGAGAACUUUAAGGAGACUGCCGGUGAUAAACCGGAGGAAGGUGAGGACGACGUCAAGUCAUCAUGGCCCUUACGAGUAGGGCAACACACGUGCUACAAUGGCUGGUACAAAGGGCAGCGAAGUCGCGAGGCGGAGCGAAUCCUAUCAAAGCCAGUCGUAGUCCGGAUUGGAGUCUGCAACUCGACUCCAUGAAGUUGGAAUCGCUAGUAA